Long non-coding RNA from Lagopus muta (rock ptarmigan), 1576 nucleotides. RefSeq lists it as uncharacterized. Lineage: Eukaryota; Metazoa; Chordata; Aves; Galliformes; Phasianidae. The record is from RefSeq and is a predicted model, not a curated record. The transcript is spliced from 2 exons.
AAAGCAUAGCUCCAUGAAACCCAACAGGGACAAUGACAGGAGUACCUUUAACCACGAUCCACAAGCAAAAUGCGCGUCCAUUGCCACGACAUGCACCACUGGGAAGGGUGGAAGUACUCUGCCAGGAAGACACAACUAAGAAAGAACGGCUUGGACAGCGGUCAGGUCAUGUCAGCAGUAAGUGCCAAACCUGAGACAGAUGAAGCUCUUUGCAGUGUGGAUGUGACUACUGCACUCUAGAGAAAGGUAGCCCUGGGCUGAGCAGACUUUGAUUCACAUUUGAGUGCUGAAGAAGCUGGAGUUCCUUGGAGUGCAUCAUAAUUUCUGUGUGUAUAUAGUACCUCCUAUCCCAACAAAAAGGCAUAUAUAAGAAUUAUAAAGAAAGCUCUCAGCAAAAGAAUGACUUGAGCACAGAGGAGUAAACGAAGCUCUCUUCAUUCCCACCCUGUCUCCAGGUGGGUUAGGACCAAUUCUCAACUCACUGACCUGUUGUCUCUCAGUUUUAAGUUUUGUUUUGGGGUUGUGGAAUAUCCUUAUGAAUUAAUGCCUAAAUCAAUCAUUUGCCAGAACUGCUCAUGCUGAAUUAAUACUAAAAAUAUAUAAACCAAGUGGAGCCCCAGAUCAACCCUGUAUGAUGAUUCGGCACUUACAACCUUAGCUAAAGCACAUUACAUAUAAUUUUAUGCAAAAUAAGGUCUGUAACUUUUAAUGGGAGACAGCUUAAGGCUACAACUAGCCUGUGUAUGUAUGCACUCAAGUGAGUGUCUACAUGCACAACCCUGCUGUUGAGGUAUGGAAAAACUAUGAGCACUUUAAAGCAGAAAUUCAAUAGCAAAACACUUUGGUUACAUGAAUAGUCAGCUACACUUUGGUCCUGAUUGCCUCAGCGUUUUCUCAGCAGCCCUUGACUCUCUUCCCUAUGGGACCUAUUACUUAUGCCUUGUGUUUUAGUUCUUUUCCCUGUACUGGCAUUUCUUUGGCAAGUAGAGCCACGUUUGCUUCUAAUGAAAGUGCCUCUCCCUUUUGCUGUUCAAGCACAUUUUUGUCUUCUAGCUCUUUUCUCCUGGACUUCUAUUUUUUUUGGCCUGACAUAUGUGAGGGAUACACUUGUGUUUAGGGUGGCAGCUUUUGCUGUCCAGCAAAGACAUACAAAAGUGCCACACGACCACCAGUAGCCAUUAUUCAUUACUGACAUUAGAGUCAUAAUUAGCUCUCCAAUUUACUGGAAUGCCCUGAUUGAUCUUGCUUUCAAUUUUUUUGGUUAUGAUCUAAUGUUUCCAAAUUUUUAAUACUUGCUUUAAGAGAUUCUAUCAAUUUAUAGAGCUGUGUUCUGUGGGGAAAUAUAUCACGUUAAGUACCUAACUGUACUCUAAGUGUACCUGUGGUCAAAUGGAAGCUAUGUAGGCAGUCAUGUUCUGUACAUUCAAACUUAAGAGUUCACACGUAUAAACCCUGCUGUAUGUGCUGAUAGAAUUAUUAUAUAAUAACUGUUCAUGUGGGUUAGUCCCGAGAAGAGGACAAGGUGCAUUCAGACAUUUGAGAUGUCACUUUAUCUGCAGCACAGUGGCUGAUGAUA